GCGUUGGUGGUAUAGUGGUUAGCAUAGUUGCCUUCCAAGCAAUAGGCCCGAUUUCGAUUAUCGGCCAUCGCA
Molecule: transfer RNA, 72 nt
Filed under: Daphnia pulex (common water flea)
Lineage: Eukaryota; Metazoa; Arthropoda; Branchiopoda; Diplostraca; Daphniidae
Rfam family: tRNA
About the family: Transfer RNA (tRNA) molecules are approximately 80 nucleotides in length. Their secondary structure includes four short double-helical elements and three loops (D, anti-codon, and T loops).
Source: Rfam by way of RNAcentral